GAUGAACGCUGGCUACAGGCUUAACACAUGCAAGUCGUGGGGAAACGGCAUUAUGUGCUUGCACAUUCUGGACGUCGACCGGCGCACGGGUGAGUAUCGCGUAUCCAACCUGCCCCUUACUUGGGGAUACCCCGUUGAAAGGCGGCCUAAUACCCGAUGUGUUUCAUUGACGGCAUCCGAUAUGAAACAAAGGUUUUCCGGUAAGGGAUGGGGAUGCGUCUGAUUAGCUUGUUGGCGGGGCAACGGCCCACCAAGGCGACGAUCAGUAGGGGUUCUGAGAGGAAGGUCCCCCACAUUGGAACUGAGACACGGUCUAAACUCCUACGGGAGGCAGCAGUGAGGAAUAUUGGUCAAUGGACGCAAGUCUGAACCAGCCAAGUAGCGUGCAGGAUGACGGCCCUAUGGGUUGUAAACUGCUUUUAUGUGGGAAUAAAGUGGCGCACGUGUGCGCCAUUGCAUGUACCUCAUGAAUAAGGACCGGCUAAUUCCGUGCCAGCAGCCGCGGUAAUACGGAAGGUCCGGGCGUUAUCCGGAUUUAUUGGGUUUAAAGGGAGUGUAGGCGGUCUGUUAAGCGUGCUGUGAAAUUUAGGUGCUCAACAUUUAACUUGCAGCGCGAACUGUCAGACUUGAGUACACGCAGCGCAGGCGGAAUUCAUGGUGUAGCGGUGAAAUGCUUAGAUAUCAUGAGGAACUCCGAUCGCGAAGGCAGCCUGCGGGAGUGUUACUGACGCUUAAGCUCGAAGGUGCGGGUAUCGAACAGG
This 761-nucleotide ribosomal RNA is filed under the name Prevotella nigrescens. Its description in RNAcentral is "bacterial SSU rRNA". It matches the Rfam family "Bacterial small subunit ribosomal RNA", at positions 28 to 776 of the family's 1533-position model. The record is from RNAcentral. Lineage: Bacteria; Pseudomonadati; Bacteroidota; Bacteroidia; Bacteroidales; Prevotellaceae.